RNAcentral lists this ribosomal RNA (497 nucleotides) under uncultured bacterium. RNAcentral describes it as "partial 16S ribosomal RNA". It matches the Rfam family "Bacterial small subunit ribosomal RNA", at positions 28 to 507 of the family's 1533-position model. The record is from RNAcentral.
GAUGAACGCUGGCGGCGUGCCUAAUACAUGCCAGUCGAGCGAACAGACGAGGAGCUUGCUCCUCUGGCGUUAGCGGCGGACGGGUGAGUAACACGUGGAUAACCUACCUAUAAGACUGGGAUAACUUCGGGAAACCGGAGCUAAUACCGGAUAAUAUAUUGAACCGCAUGGUUCAAUAGUGAAAGACGGUUUUGCUGUCACUUAUAGAUGGAUCCGCGCCGCAUUAGCUAGUUGGUAAGGUAACGGCUUACCAAGGCGACGAUGCGUAGCCGACCUGAGAGGGUGAUCGGCCACACUGGAACUGAGACACGGUCCAGACUCCUACGGGAGGCAGCAGUAGGGAAUCUUCCGCAAUGGGCGAAAGCCUGACGGAGCAACGCCGCGUGAGUGAUGAAGGUCUUCGGAUCGUAAAACUCUGUUAUUAGGGAAGAACAAAUGUGUAAGUAACUAUGCACGUCUUGACGGUACCUAAUCAGAAAGCCACGGCUAACUACGUG